GACGUACGCUGGCGGCGUGCUUAACACAUGCAAGUCGAACGGUAAGGCCCUUCGGGGUACACGAGUGGCGAGCGGGUGAGUAACACGUGGGUGAUCUGCCCUGCACUUCGGGAUAAGCCUGGGAAACUGGGUCUAAUACCGGAUAGGACUCCUGGCUUCAUGGUUGGGGGUGGAAAGCUUUUGCGGUGUGGGAUGGGCCCGCGGCCUAUCAGCUUGUUGGUGGGGUAAUGGCCUACCAAGGCGACGACGGGUAGCCGGCCUGAGAGGGUGACCGGUCAGACGGGGACUGAGAUACGGCGCAGACUCCUACGGGAGGCAGCAGUGGGGAAUAUUGCACAAUGGGCGCAAGCCUGAUGCAGCGACGCCGCGUGAGGGAUGACGGCCCUCGGGUUGUAAACCUCUUUCAGCUAUGACGAAGCGCAAGUGACGGUAGUAGCAGAAGAAGGACCGGCCAACUACGUGCCAGCAGCCGCCGUAA
RNAcentral lists this ribosomal RNA (478 nucleotides) under uncultured bacterium. Its description in RNAcentral is "partial 16S ribosomal RNA". It matches the Rfam family "Bacterial small subunit ribosomal RNA", at positions 28 to 523 of the family's 1533-position model. The record is from RNAcentral.